This 501-nucleotide ribosomal RNA is filed under the name uncultured bacterium. RNAcentral describes it as "partial 16S ribosomal RNA". It matches the Rfam family "Bacterial small subunit ribosomal RNA", at positions 30 to 523 of the family's 1533-position model. The record is from RNAcentral.
AUUGAACGCUGGCGGCAGGCUUAACACAUGCAAGUCGAGCGGGGGAAGGUAGCUUGCUACCGGACCUAGCGGCGGACGGGUGAGUAAUGCUUAGGAAUCUGCCUAUUAGUGGGGGACAACAUCUCGAAAGGGAUGCUAAUACCGCAUACGUCCUACGGGAGAAAGCAGGGGAUCUUCGGACCUUGCGCUAAUAGAUGAGCCUAAGUCGGAUUAGCUAGUUGGUGGGGUAAAGGCCUACCAAGGCGACGACCUGUAGCGGGUCUGAGAGGAUGAUCCGCCACACGGGGACUGAGACACGGCCCAGACUCCUACGGGAGGCAGCAGUGGGGAAUAUUGGACAAUGGGGGGAACCCUGAUCCAGCCAUGCCGCGUGUGUGAAGAAGGCCUUAUGGUUGUAAAGCACUUUAAGCGAGGAGGAGGCUACUUUAGUUAAUACCUAGAGAUAGUGGACGUUACUCGCAGAAUAAGCACCGGCUAACUCUGUGCCAGCCGCCGCCGUAA